CCUCUUCCCGUCCAGGUCGGAAAACCAGCCCAGGUUGUCUGCGAUGAUGUGGUGGUUCUGGCAGCCAGGGCAGGUCACAAUGACCACGCCCUGGUGAUAGGCCAGCUUUGAGAUGCGCUUGGAGGUCCUUGUCCCACAGACCUGGCUGGGGCAAGGCAGCGUCAGGCCCGCAGCUGCACCCCCGGGCAGGCCCCGCCCCGGGCAGCCUCUCCUCUUGGCGCCCUCUAGCAGCAGGAGCGGCCCACCUUGUCCCGGCUGUGUGCUCACCCUGCAGGUGUAGACCAGCUGGUAAUGCGUAGUUUCCACGUGCCCCAGCGCCGCUGCGGGCCCCGACCCGGAACUCGAGCACCGCCACCCCCAGGCCCAGGUCCGCCGCUUCCCUGCGGCCUCCCGGCGGGUGCCGCUGCCCCACAGGCACCUCAGGACAGACCCCCGGGGCCUCUCGACGCUCAGAAGCACCGGCACACGGCCCAGCACCGCCCGCAGCAUUCCGCCCGCCCGCCCAGGCCGUUCUUGCCAGCCCCGCCCCGCGUGACUGAGGCCGCUUCCGCCAUGUUGGAAGUGGGCACCCGGACGGACGUGGCCCUCCUUGGCUUCCGCCCCCGGCCCCGGCGCGCCGCGCUCUGCUGCCCCCUGGUGCCGCCCUGCGGCGCGGGCUGACUGCGCGAGUCCGCUCGCUCCCGGGUUAUUUUUAUUUACUUGGCUGCACUUUCCGGUAUUUCCACAAAGCGAGUGUAGCGUACAAUAAGAACAGGACGCGCAUUUAAAAAGUACAUCGGAGCGCGGGCAGCCGCACGGAGCCAGUCCAGCUCAUUCACCGAGGCCGGGUCAGCCACGGCGCCGAGCAGGCCGCAGGUGCGGGGAGUGCGGGCCGCCCCACGACGGUCCCGGCGGACUAGGAGCCCUCGGUGUCGGUGUUGUCGCUGCCGGUGGUGUUCCCGCGGUCCCCCUCGCCCUGCCGCCAGCCGUUCUGCAUCUUCCUGAGCGCUCGCUUCCUGUGGGACGCCGCAGCUCCCGGACCCGCCUGCGCAGUUCGUCCUUCUCCUGCAGGCUCCGCGCACACUGCGUGUGAAGCUCCUCCCGAGAGGCCAUGGCCUGGGGAUGGCAGGUGCACACCUGAGUCCAGGGCUGGCCAGGUGACUCCCAGGAGUCUGGUUUUGGCGUUCCUGACACAUAUGGCCCUGACGGAAGUGCCAACUGUUGACUGGAAGUUGUUUGGGAAACAGGGAGGCAGAUAGAUGCAGCCCUACGUUGGGAUGAUCUGUCCCAUUCACAAGAACUCGGACAGACCAGUUGCCCACAAUUCUUUUAAGUUAAAAUAAGGUACUUGCAACUGAGUGCAUUGGGGCACACCUAUAAUCCUGGCUACUCAGGAGGCUGAGGCAGGAGGAUCACUAGUUUGAAGCCAACUGGUCAAAAAAAACUCUGCCUCAAAACAAAAACAGAAAAGACUGGGGUGCAGGUAG
Sciurus carolinensis (gray squirrel) is the source of this 1466-nucleotide long non-coding RNA. RefSeq lists it as uncharacterized. The record is from RefSeq and is a predicted model, not a curated record. Lineage: Eukaryota; Metazoa; Chordata; Mammalia; Rodentia; Sciuridae. The transcript is spliced from 3 exons.